GUGAAUCAUCGAAUUUUUGAACGCAAAUUGCACUCUCUUCGGAGAGUAUGCCUGUUUGAGGGUCAGCCUAAAAAAAUCGAAAAAGUGCCUGUUUCGCGUUGACUUUCGCCGGAAAUUGGGUCACCUUAAACCUUUGGGUUUUAAGCGCCUUAAAAUUUCCUUUAUGUUUUAACGAACUUUCCUAAGUUUAACUUACACUUUUAAG
This 205-nucleotide unclassified non-coding RNA is filed under the name Glomus sp. RNAcentral describes it as "partial contains 5.8S ribosomal RNA and internal transcribed spacer 2". The stretch from base 1 to 65 matches the Rfam family "5.8S ribosomal RNA", at positions 84 to 154 of the family's 154-position model. Lineage: Eukaryota; Fungi; Glomeromycota; Glomeromycetes; Glomerales; Glomeraceae. The record is from RNAcentral.